This is a long non-coding RNA of Cercocebus atys (sooty mangabey), 1495 nucleotides long. RefSeq lists it as uncharacterized. Lineage: Eukaryota; Metazoa; Chordata; Mammalia; Primates; Cercopithecidae. The record is from RefSeq and is a predicted model, not a curated record. The transcript is spliced from 3 exons.
GUUUUUCUGAAGAGUGGCGCCUGGUGACAAUAAUGGCCUCUGCCCAGACUGUUGCCCCUUGCCUGCAAUGGGGGCAUCUUGGCAGCUUGGAGGCAUCAGACUCAUCCAGGAAGACUCAGCUAAGAGGUCCACGGUAAAGACUCAUCCACACACCUGCCACAGGGAUGAGUCCCUCUUGCCUUCCUACAUCUGCCACCACAGUUGAUCACAUCAUCCUUCCCUGGAUGAAGAGUCUGAGGCUUAGCGUCUGUCAAAAGAACCAAAGCCACACAGUAAGCUGGGAUUCGAAUCCAGGACUUUCUGAUGCAAGAUCCCACGGACCUAAUGACAUUGCUGCUGCUGUCUGCCUGACUGUCCAGCCCUUGCAGAAGGAGCACUUAUCAAUGGGCUGAGCUUCUGGCUGGAUCCUAAAGGUGUCACAAGGUCCCCACCAGCCUACCUACCACGUGACUCACAGGUUACUGCUAAAGAGAUGCCUUGGGGUUAAAAUACUGUCCACAGACGUUUUGGUUAAAAGACUCAAUAAUAGAAGUGCUCUGGUCUGGACUGAAAGAUGGUAGUUAAAAGCCAGAAAGAGGGGAUAAUAAAAUCUACCUGAUAGGAUAAUUGCAACAACAAACUGAAACACUGAACGUAAGACUCUGGGAUGGUGCCAUCUCCUAAUCACCAUCGUUAUUCGUAGCUCUGUAAGGCUGCUGUGGAGACACUAUGCAGUUUUCUCCUCCACUGCUUUCAGCCAGGGUUGACUGGGGGCUUGCCAUGUGUGAGGCCACAGGUCCUCCCGCAGACACCCCCCACCACACACACUGUACCCUCCCGAAGAGAAAGAGUGGAAGGCCAGCAAUAUAGCAAGUGCUCCCUAAUUGCUUCUUCUUCUUCUUGAAAACUUAGUUGUGUGGACAGAGUCAAGGAAAGGCUAGAUGUGGGGCCUCCAGGAGCAGUCAAGGGUGAGGGUGGAAGGCCGCGUCCUGCGUCUCUCCUGCGAUGGCGCUGGCUUGUGAGAGGGUCUUUUGGCCACAGUAUUAGGCCUCUGCCUGGACCCCGCAGGCCAGUCUAGGAGCACUGCAAACACAGUGAGAUGCCACUUUGGGAUGUGUAAAGGUGACCCAUGCUGAGAAGAGAGGCUUCAAGGCCUUUCUGAUUCAGCAUGUAGGUAGGUAGACACUUCUAAUGUUCUCCUCUGUCCUAUUCUUCCCUCCUUCUGCACAUGAGCGGAUUACAUUUCCUGGGCCUCUGCUCUUUGAUGAGUUGUGUGAGUCAUUUUAGCCAAUGGACUGUGGGUGGAAAUGAUGCAUUUGUGGCUUCCCAGCUGAAACAUUUGAUUGCCUGCAUGAGAUACUAUUCUUCUGCUGUUUUAGCAAAAACCCUGAAUAUUGUGUUGAGAUGGUAGCCUCAUAAAAAGAUUCUAGAACAUUCUGUAACGUAACAGAACACCCCUCCCUCUCCACGGACCUGCCUUGGGCUUAUAGUAUGAGCAAUAAAUACACCUUUAUUA